GGGUAAAUGGGCGGGGGGUGAUGAAGGCUGCACACACGAAAUUCCUCCAAGGAACCUCUGUGAGCUUUUCUUUUUUUCCCUCUUUUUUUUCAUCACGCGCGUGCUAAAAAUAGAAACAGGGUUGGAUCGUGAUCCAGAAAUAGAUAGGGGGCAUCACUCCUAUAAAAGGCACACCAUUCAAGAGUACAGUGUGUGCACAGUAGGAAGAACCGAAAAGCACGAGCACAUUUUAAAGCAGAGAACAGUUUUAUUUGGUCUUUUAUUUUCCUGCAUGGUGACACUCCUCAAGCUUGCGUGGUUUGCACAGUUUUGGAGAUGACGACUCAUGCGGAUCAAAUUACGGAAGCACAAAAUGGGAAUGCUGCAAAAACAAACGUUUCCGUGAAGUAGCGGAAAUAGGGAAAGGAGUGACGCACAAACAUUCAGAAGUUCCCCUGCUGGAAUAGAAACACAGUAUGGUAAGUACUACAGUGGAGAUGAGAAAUACCAUAGAUAUUUUGUAGGAAGAAACAUUAUAUUUUAUUUGUACUUAUACUGUAUCAUUACAUUUACAUUUUGUUAUUAAGUUUUACUAAGUAUAUGUUUUGUGUGUGCAGUGUGCAUUUGUAAUUUAUGUUGCAAGUUUGAAUUCUUGUUUUGAUACUUUUUUUUGUCAUGGCCAUGUUGCUGGUGUGUAAAAUGAUAAUUAUUCAUAAUCCUACAUAUGGUACCCUUGCUCGGCAGGCAUGCGUGAAACGGUAGCUAACACAUUUCAUAGGAGGAAAAACAAAUAUUUACUGGCAGUCUGUCCAGGCUUUGUGAAUUUUCAGUGUAGUGCAAGGUUAUAAAAUCCAUGAGUGUUUUUGUCCAGUUUUAAAUUGUGCUGAAUUAAUUUAGGUUUUUUUUGGUUCAAUAUCUAUAGUUUGGAGCUAUCCUUUAAGUUUAAUUUCAUGUAUUUUUGCUAAAGCAAGUCCACACCUUGGAAUGUCUUUCUAUACGUAUGAUGAUUUUUGAUAAUGCAAGUAAAAAACAAGAUUACCAUGAUGCAUCAAACAUGUAAUAGAAAUAAAAUGAUUUCAAAAGGCCUUUAUA
Long non-coding RNA from Syngnathus acus (greater pipefish), 1071 nucleotides. RefSeq lists it as uncharacterized. NCBI's taxonomy places the organism in Eukaryota, Metazoa, Chordata, Actinopteri, Syngnathiformes, Syngnathidae. The record is from RefSeq and is a predicted model, not a curated record. The transcript has 3 exons.